RNAcentral lists this transfer RNA (72 nucleotides) under Trichonephila clavata. It matches the Rfam family "tRNA". Rfam says of the family: Transfer RNA (tRNA) molecules are approximately 80 nucleotides in length. The record is from Rfam by way of RNAcentral. Lineage: Eukaryota; Metazoa; Arthropoda; Arachnida; Araneae; Nephilidae.
GCAUCGGUGGUAUAACGGUUAGCAUAGCUGCCUUCCAAGCAGUUGACCCGGGUUCGACUCCCGGUAGACGCA